CAGCAGCCACGGUAAUACGGAGGGUGCAAGCGUUAAUCGGAAUUACUGGGCGUAAAGCGCACGCAGGCGGUCUGACAAGUCAGAUGUGAAAUCCCCGGGCUUAACCUGGGAACUGCAUUUGAAACUGUCAGGCUGGAGUCUUGUAGAGGGGGGUGGAAUUCCAGGUGUAGCGGUGAAAUGCGUAGAGAUCUGGAGGAAUACCGGUGGCGAAGGCGGCCCCCUGGACAAAGACUGACGCUCAGGUGCGAAAGCGUGGGGAGCAAACAGGAUUAGAUACCUGUGUAGUCCCUGUCUCUUAUAU
RNAcentral lists this ribosomal RNA (301 nucleotides) under uncultured bacterium. RNAcentral describes it as "partial 16S ribosomal RNA". It matches the Rfam family "Bacterial small subunit ribosomal RNA", at positions 509 to 809 of the family's 1533-position model. The record is from RNAcentral.